CGCGAAGAACCUUACCAGGUCUUGACAUCCCGCUGACCGCCUAGGAGACUAAGAUUUCCCUUCGGGGACAGCGGUGACAGGUGGUGCAUGGUUGUCGUCAGCUCGUGUCGUGAGAUGUUGGGUUAAGUCCCGCAACGAGCGCAACCCUUGUUAUUAGUUGCCAGCAUUAAGUUGGGCACUCUAAUGAGACUGCCGGUGACAAACCGGAGGAAGGUGGGGAUGACGUCAAGUCAUCAUGCCCCUUAUGACCUGGGCUACACACGUGCUACAAUGGGCAGUACAACGAGAAGCGAGCCUGCGAAGGCAAGCGAAUCUCUGAAAGCUGUUCUCAGUUCGGACUGCAGUCUGCAACUCGACUGCACGAAGCUGGAAUCGCUAGUAAUCGCGGAUCAGCACGCCGCGGUGAAUACGUUCCCGGGUCUUGUACACACC
Molecule: ribosomal RNA, 432 nt
Filed under: uncultured bacterium
Lineage: Bacteria
Description: bacterial SSU rRNA
Rfam family: Bacterial small subunit ribosomal RNA
Source: RNAcentral